RNAcentral lists this non-coding RNA (30 nucleotides) under Homo sapiens (human). Lineage: Eukaryota; Metazoa; Chordata; Mammalia; Primates; Hominidae. The record is from RNAcentral.
UCUUGAAUGGCAAGCACUUUGGAGGCUAGG